Molecule: ribosomal RNA, 460 nt
Filed under: uncultured Chitinophagaceae bacterium
Lineage: Bacteria; Pseudomonadati; Bacteroidota; Chitinophagia; Chitinophagales; Chitinophagaceae
Description: bacterial SSU rRNA
Rfam family: Bacterial small subunit ribosomal RNA
Source: RNAcentral
CCUACGGGAGGCUGCAGUGGGGAAUAUUGGACAAUGGAGGAAACUCUGAUCCAGCCAUGCCGCGUGAUAGAUGAAGGCCCUCUGGGUUGUAAAUAUCUUUUAUCUGGGAAGAAACACUCCUAUUCUUAGGAACUUGACGGUACCAGAGGAAUAAGCACCGGCUAACUCCGUGCCAGCAGCCGCGGUAAUACGGAGGGUGCAAGCGUUAUCCGGAUUCACUGGGUUUAAAGGGUGCGUAGGCGGGCUGAUAAGUCAGUGGUGAAAGCUCCGAGCUUAACUUGGAAACUGCCAUUGAUACUGCCAGUCUUGAAUGUCGUAGAGGUAAGCGGAAUGUUGCAUGUAGCGGUGAAAUGCUUAGAUAUGUUACAGAACACCAAUUGCGAAGGCAGCUUACUAUGCGAUGAUUGACGCUGAGGCACGAAAGCGUGGGGAGCAAACAGGAUUAGAUACCCCUGUAGUC